ACUUGAUUUUGUAAUAAUUAUUUGGGCUUAAGAAAUUAUGAAAAAUAAAGAGCCAAUUAGCCUAUUUUCUAGAAUGUGAGCCCAUUUGGCCCUUGUUCUAGAAAUGUGCUCUAGAAAUAUUUUUAGAAUAGUAGAAUGAUAUAGAUAAGUAUGGAGUGAUCUAGAGAGUGGAUAUUUUUGUAGAAUUGUGUAGAAGGUGAUUUGUAGCCAUUAGAUUAAAGUUGUGUUGGAUAAAUCUUGGCCAUUGAUUGAGGAAGUGGCCAAGUAUAAAUAGGUGUGGGAUUGCUCAUUUUGCAUCAAGCCAAAAAAUCAAAAACAAGUUUGAGUAAUAAAAUGUUUUCUUCUCCAUAAUCUUUCUACUCUUCCAAAAUUCCCUUAGCCUAAAAGCCUCCCUCCAAAUAUUAAUAGCAAUCCUCUUCCAACAUAAAUAAUGCUAACUGCCUAAGAUGAUAACUCAACAUAUAUAAUUCAUGAUGAAUAUAAAAUCUUAGUAAGUAUAAAAAUUUCUACAUUAUCUGAGUAUUUUAAUUUAAAAUAGCACGUAAUUAACUUGCUUUAUUUUUCAGGUUUGUUAUCAAUUUAUGCUUGAAUUCCUCUUAUUCGCCCUUUAUGUGCAUCGUUCUUUUUGCUAUUGCUCUUGAUUCAAGUUGUUGCAACUGUUAAAUGAUCAUUGUUGUAUGCUAAUGUCAACGUGUAAAUACAUAAGGUUAUAAAAUAUAUGUGCAUUUAAAUAGGAUGCCGGGGGUCUAUUUGGAAACAGUCUCUUUACCCCAGGGUAGGGGUAAGGUCUGCGUACAUACUACCUUCCCCAAACCCCACUAAGUGAGAUUAUACUGGGUUGUUGUUGUUUGUAUAUCGUGCGCCAAAAGUAGUUAACUCUGUUUGACACAUCGAAUCUGCUUUAAAAUCUACAUCUUGUCUAAUGCAAAUAUGAGUAAAGAUUUUCCGGAAGAGUUAAGCAUAUAGUAAGGUUUUGAAGUUGUCCCAAAUGAAUUCCUUUGAACUUUGUUCGUUUUCUCAUUUAAUUAACUAUUUUCUUAAUAGGCAAUUUGCGACUGAGAGCAUUAAGUAGUAAGCUCGCCUCAAGAUGUGUGCUUUUCUAUUAUAAUUUUAUAGAGCCCCCAGUGGAAAAAUCAUUACAACGACGAGAUUUGUUC
Molecule: long non-coding RNA, 1157 nt
Filed under: Nicotiana benthamiana
Lineage: Eukaryota; Viridiplantae; Streptophyta; Magnoliopsida; Solanales; Solanaceae
Description: long non-coding RNA (NBEN_LNC005286)
Source: RNAcentral